GAUGAACGCUGGCGGCGUGCCUAAUACAUGCAAGUCGAGCGAACAGACGAGGAGCUUGCUCCUCUGACGUUAGCGGCGGACGGGUGAGUAACACGUGGAUAACCUACCUAUAAGACUGGGAUAACUUCGGGAAACCGGAGCUAAUACCGGAUAAUAUAUUGAACCGCAUGGUUCAAUAGUGAAAGACGGUUUUGCUGUCACUUAUAGAUGGAUCCGCGCCGCAUUAGCUAGUUGGUAAGGUAACGGCUUACCAAGGCGACGAUGCGUAGCCGACCUGAGAGGGUGAUCGGCCACACUGGAACUGAGACUCGGUCCAGACUCCUAAGGGAGGCAGCAGUAGGGAAUCUUCCGCAAUGGGCGAAAGCCUGACGGAGCAACGCCGCGUGAGUGAUGAAGGUCUUCGGAUCGUAAAACUCUGUUAUUAGGGAAGAACAAAUGUGUAAGUAACUAUGCACGUCUUGACGGUACCUAAUCAGAAAGCCACGGCUAACUACGUG
Molecule: ribosomal RNA, 497 nt
Filed under: uncultured bacterium
Lineage: Bacteria
Description: partial 16S ribosomal RNA
Rfam family: Bacterial small subunit ribosomal RNA
Source: RNAcentral